UAAUACAGAGGGUGCGAGCGUUAAUCGGAGUUACUGGGCGUAAAGGGCGCGUAGGCGGUUAUAUUAGUGUGAUGUGAAAGCCCUGGGCUUAACCUAGGAAGUGCAUCGCAAACGGUAUAACUGGAGUAUAAGAGAGGGUGGCGGAAUUUCCGGUGUAGCGGUGAAAUGCGUAGAGAUCGGAAGGAACGUCAAUGGCGAAGGCAGCCACCUGGCUUAAUACUGACGCUGAGGCGCGAAAGCGUGGGGAGCGAACAGGAUUAGAUACCCUGGUAGUCCACGCUGUAAACGAUGAGGACUAAAUGUUGGUGGGGGAACCCAUCAGUAUUGAAGCAAACGCGAUAAGUCUUCCGCCUGGGAAGUACGGCCGCAAGGUUG
This 375-nucleotide ribosomal RNA is filed under the name uncultured bacterium. RNAcentral's name for it is "bacterial SSU rRNA". It matches the Rfam family "Bacterial small subunit ribosomal RNA", at positions 521 to 896 of the family's 1533-position model. The record is from RNAcentral.